RNAcentral lists this ribosomal RNA (374 nucleotides) under uncultured bacterium. Its description in RNAcentral is "bacterial SSU rRNA". It matches the Rfam family "Bacterial small subunit ribosomal RNA", at positions 523 to 898 of the family's 1533-position model. The record is from RNAcentral.
AUACGUAUGGGGCAAGCGUUAUCCGGAUUCAUUGGGCGUAAAGAGCGCGUAGGUGGAUUGUUAAGCGAGAUGUGAAAACUGGGGGCUCAACCCCCAGCCUGCAUCUCGAACUGGCAGUCUUGAGUUUGGUAGAGGAGUGUGGAAUUCCCAGUGUAGCGGUGGAAUGCGCAGAUAUUGGGAAGAACACCAGUGGCGAAGGCGGCACUCUGGGCCAACACUGACACUGAGGCGCGAAAGCUAGGGGAGCGAACAGGAUUAGAUACCCUGGUAGUCCUAGCCGUAAACGAUGGGCACUAGGUGUGGGGAGAUACUCUCUCCGUGCCGCAGCUAACGCAUUAAGUGCCCCGCCUGGGGAGUACGAUCGCAAGAUUAAA